Molecule: long non-coding RNA, 1451 nt
Filed under: Junco hyemalis (dark-eyed junco)
Lineage: Eukaryota; Metazoa; Chordata; Aves; Passeriformes; Passerellidae
Description: lncRNA (ENSJHYG00000009841.1)
Source: RNAcentral
GGCAAGCACUCAGUAUUUAAAACUCCUUAAAGAUGCUGCAAAAUUUCCAGCCACUUUCUUGCAUUAAAAUGCUGUAGGUCCUUACUAAAUAUAUGUUCAACUUGUUGUGCCCUUGAGAAAAUGCAUUUAUAAUCUGUAUAAUAUCCUCUAAUAUAUUAAAAUAUAUGGAUCUGAUAUUUAGAUAAGGGAUAUUUAGACACAUGCAAUGAGCUCCUAGCCUGAAGUUCAGGAUAAGGUUUGCUUUGCCUGAGGGUAGGUGCCUGGAAGUUGGGUGUUUGAGUCUGCUGAACUAGAAAUUCACUCUGCUACAGUCACUGGGGGAGGGAGGCACCAUGAGGAGACAUUUCUAGGUAACCACCCUAAGAGAGGUGUCCAGAGUACAAAGGAUAACCCAAAAGUCGAGGUGCCUGCUUCCUUCCACUGCCUGUUGGAAGAGCACAGAGGAGUGGUUUCAUGCAGCUGAGAUUGCUGAAAAAUGCCCACAGCAUGGCUACCUGAAGAAUUCUGAACAGAGGAGGAAUGAAUCAGAGAAUCAAAGAAUAGUGGCUGCCCUGGAUGCCUGAACAGCCUUGGCCUUUCUAUUCCAUUGUUGCUUGAAACUGGACACACAAGCACUAUGAAAAAAGGUCUUAUUUUCUCCAUCUGGAAGCUGAAGAUAAUACUACCUAAACUAGAGGGAUAUUGUGAGCAUUCCUUGUUAUAGUAGUUCAUUUCUAAAUAAUCUCAUUGUAUUAAAAUUGUUAAAACCGUUUAAAAACUAGUGUUUUAUUAAAGUUUAGUGGUGAAUAUUUACAUAUUCAGCUUCUACUGUUAGAACACCAAUAUUUGUUUUAUUUUAUUGCAUUUUUAGCUGGUUAAUAAGAUUUCUUAAUUUAGAGUUGCAUCUCUCUAAUGACCUUCGCUGGAUGCUAAAUUUUAGAUUACAUUUACAUAUGUGACACUCCUAUUUUGUUAAGUAGGAGACAUAUUAUGGGGAUAAUCAGUUUAUCUUAAGCUGUAAUUCUAUGUCUAGCAAGGAUUCAAAUUUCUAGGAUGUAUAAUGGGUUAGUGAAAUCUGGUAAAGCAUCUUUGAGAUAAAUCCCAGCAUAUGAGAUCAGUUAGAUCUAGCUGUAAAAUGGAACAGAAGCUUAAUUUUAAUUUUCAUUUGCACAGCUUGGUGCUUUACUUUUUUUCUUUUACAACUUGACAGAGCUCUAUCUGAAAUUUAAAAAAUGCAGGAACUGGAUGAAUCUUUUGAAUAUGCAUUAACUAAAGGGGAGAAACAAAACUAAAGAAAAGAUGUAGCUAGUUUCAUGUAAGGUUAGAUUUUCUAUUCCAUGGAAAUUAAUUUGACUCCAAUGUAAAUCCUCUGGUGAAAUGAUGUGCAUGCUUUGCAGCUACAAGAUCCUUCUUACACAGGCUAUGUGGGCACUAAAAUAGUACAGGCACCAAAGCAACAGUAACAAUUUCAG